This 1354-nucleotide ribosomal RNA is filed under the name uncultured bacterium. RNAcentral describes it as "bacterial SSU rRNA". It matches the Rfam family "Bacterial small subunit ribosomal RNA", at positions 28 to 1381 of the family's 1533-position model. The record is from RNAcentral.
AUUGAACGCUGGCGGCAUGCCUUACACAUGCAAGUCGAACGGCAGCACGGAGCUUGCUCUGGUGGCGAGUGGCGAACGGGUGAGUAAUAUAUCGGAACGUACCCUGGAGUGGGGGAUAACGUAGCGAAAGUUACGCUAAUACCGCAUACGAUCUAAGGAUGAAAGUGGGGGACUCGCAAGAGCCUCAUGCUCGUGGAGCGGCCGAUAUCUGAUUAGCUAGUUGGUAGGGUAAAAGCCUACCAAGGCAUCGAUCAGUAGCUGGUCUGAGAGGACGACCAGCCACACUGGAACUGAGACACGGUCCAGACUCCUACGGGAGGCAGCAGUGGGGAAUUUUGGACAAUGGGCGCAAGCCUGAUCCAGCAAUGCCGCGUGAGUGAAGAAGGCCUUCGGGUUGUAAAGCUCUUUUGUCAGGGAAGAAACGGUGAGAGCUAAUAUCUUUUGCUAAUGACGGUACCUGAAGAAUAAGCACCGGCUAACUACGUGCCAGCAGCCGCGGUAAUACGUAGGGUGCAAGCGUUAAUCGGAAUUACUGGGCGUAAAGCGUGCGCAGGCGGUUUUGUAAGUCUGAUGUGAAAUCCCCGGGCUCAACCUGGGAAUUGCAUUGGAGACUGCAAGGCUAGAAUCUGGCAGAGGGGGGUAGAAUUCCACGUGUAGCAGUGAAAUGCGUAGAUAUGUGGAGGAACACCGAUGGCGAAGGCAGCCCCCUGGGUCAAGAUUGACGCUCAUGCACGAAAGCGUGGGGAGCAAACAGGAUUAGAUACCCUGGUAGUCCACGCCCUAAACGAUGUCUACUAGUUGUCGGGUCUUAAUUGACUUGGUAACGCAGCUAACGCGUGAAGUAGACCGCCUGGGGAGUACGGUCGCAAGAUUAAAACUCAAAGGAAUUGACGGGGACCCGCACAAGCGGUGGAUGAUGUGGAUUAAUUCGAUGCAACGCGAAAAACCUUACCUACCCUUGACAUGGAUGGAAUCCCGAAGAGAUUUGGGAGUGCUCGAAAGAGAACCAUUACACAGGUGCUGCAUGGCUGUCGUCAGCUCGUGUCGUGAGAUGUUGGGUUAAGUCCCGCAACGAGCGCAACCCUUGUCAUUAGUUGCUACGAAAGGGCACUCUAAUGAGACUGCCGGUGACAAACCGGAGGAAGGUGGGGAUGACGUCAAGUCCUCAUGGCCCUUAUGGGUAGGGCUUCACACGUCAUACAAUGGUACAUACAGAGCGCCGCCAACCCGCGAGGGGGAGCUAAUCGCAGAAAGUGUAUCGUAGUCCGGAUUGUAGUCUGCAACUCGACUGCAUGAAGUUGGAAUCGCUAGUAAUCGCGGAUCAGCAUGUCGCGGUGAAUAAAGUCCCGGGUCU